Molecule: ribosomal RNA, 670 nt
Filed under: Escherichia coli
Lineage: Bacteria; Pseudomonadati; Pseudomonadota; Gammaproteobacteria; Enterobacterales; Enterobacteriaceae
Description: partial 23S ribosomal RNA
Rfam family: Bacterial large subunit ribosomal RNA
Source: RNAcentral
GUACACAAAAAUGCACAUACUGUGAGCUCGAUGAGUAGGGCGGGACACGUGGUAUCCUGUCUGAAUAUGGGGGGACCAUCCUCCAAGGCUAAAUACUCCUGACUGACCGAUAGUGAACCAGUACCGUGAGGGAAAGGCGAAAAGAACCCCGGCGAGGGGAGUGAAAAAGAACCUGAAACCGUGUACGUACAAGCAGUGGGAGCCUCUUAAUGGGGUGACUGCGUACCUUUUGUAUAAUGGGUCAGCGACUUAUAUUCUGUAGCAAGGUUAACCGAAUAGGGGAGCCGAAGGGAAACCGAGUCUUAACUGGGCGUUAAGUUGCAGGGUAUAGACCCGAAACCCGGUGAUCUAGCCAUGGGCAGGUUGAAGGUUGGGUAACACUAACUGGAGGACCGAACCGACUAAUGUUGAAAAAUUAGCGGAUGACUUGUGGCUGGGGGUGAAAGGCCAAUCAAACCGGGAGAUAGCUGGUUCUCCCCGAAAGCUAUUUAGGUAGCGCCUCGUGAAUUCAUCUCCGGGGGUAGAGCACUGUUUCGGCAAGGGGGUCAUCCCGACUUACCAACCCGAUGCAAACUGCGAAUACCGGAGAAUGUUAUCACGGGAGACACACGGCGGGUGCUAACGUCCGUCGUGAAGAGGGAAACAACCCAGACCGCCAGCUAAGGUCCCA